Long non-coding RNA from Cannabis sativa, 383 nucleotides. RefSeq lists it as uncharacterized. Lineage: Eukaryota; Viridiplantae; Streptophyta; Magnoliopsida; Rosales; Cannabaceae. The record is from RefSeq and is a predicted model, not a curated record. The transcript is spliced from 2 exons.
UUUCGCCGUCCAAGCCCAAGGCAAACCCCAUGAACAUCACCACUCUCUUUCCACCCUCAUAGCAAUCGCAGCACCGGGACGAUGAACGGCUCUUCAAACGCUAACCUGAGAAAAUGGAGGCCACGGGUGGCCUCACCGAGUUCUGAAACGCAACACCCUUAAGCCACGAAGCCACCACCGCUAUUCUGCCUCCGUGAAGAAGCUCGUCGGAGCUGCGAGUUCACAACCCAAUCUGCCUCUUUGAAGAAGCUCCCUGUGCAGAUCUAAAAAAUUUGUUGAAUUUCUAUGUAAUUUUUUUUUGUGUUAUUAUUUCAUUUGUCUUUGUGUAAUUUUUUUUUCUGUAUCUGAUUAAUUUGUAAAAGUUAUGUCUAAAUUUUUGUAAA